UUAUUCUAUUUCCAACCUUUAUUUGACAAUACUGGCAUACCGAAUACUGUCAAUUGUAACCAUGGUUUCUAUACAUGUGAUGAAAAUAGCUAGACAUUAAUAACAAAUCUUCAUAUCCGCCGUAGUCAAGAUUACAGAAAGUGUAAAUCUAAAUACAGCUAGAAUGCAUACAUUUCUCUCAACAAAACAAUGUUUACAAUGUAAAACAGAAAUACUUUUAACAGAAAGCUGUGUCAGUGUCACUAAUCCAUCUAAUUCAGUAUGUUUUGGCUGUUACUGAAUAGAUCCAGUUAGUGAAACUCCUGACUUGUGUUCUCCUCCAAUGUCAAACAAACAUUGAAUCGAAAGUGUUUCUCAUAAAAAAUAUCACAGUCUGAAAAACAUGUCAUUUAUUCUCAAAAAUGUCAACUGGACUGUGCACAACUGAGCGCUCAUCCAAUUCAUUCUUCAGUCUUCCAUUGCAUGGUGAUCUUCAGACAAUGGUUCACUGUCACUGUUAAUUUCAGUGCUACUGUUGGUGUUGGGGUGACUGUCAGGACCACCGUUUGGGUUAAUGUAACUAUCAGCGUUACUCCUAAGUAAGGAGAUCCUUACAGUUUCAAUGCCAACCAUGGCUGAAAUAAAAGAUGAGAAAGAAAACAUGUUGAACAAAUUACAUCAAUUAUGUACUAACCACACACCUGAUAUAUAAUCUACAUCAGUUAACACAGUAAAGUGUCAUUUACACCAGCAAUUUGUUACAACAAUUUUAUUCCUACCAUCCGUGCCACCGUCUGGGCCAACAUCCGCGUGAAAGUGCGGACCAUCCUCCGGGGGAAAGUGUGGGCCGGCCUCAGCCUGACACUCCGGGCCGGCCUCAGCCUGACACUCCGGGCCGGCCUCAGCCUGACACUCCGGGCCGGCCUCAGCCUGACACUCCGGGCCGGCCUCAGCCUGACACUCCGGGCCGGCCUCAGCCUGACACUCCGGGCCGGCCUCAGCCUGACACUCCGGGCCGGCCUCAGCCUGAAAGUCAGCGUCGGUUUGAUCAUCUGGGCCAGCAUUACAGUCAGUGUUUUUCCGAAGGAAGGAGAUCCUUGUUAUUGUGCUUUUUCCUGAAAUUCCCUUUCCAGAUUCAAUGCCAACCAUUUCUGGGGAAAAAAGAUACAUCGGAAAACAACAUGGUCAAAAACAUGAACAAAUUGCAACAAUUAU
Long non-coding RNA from Esox lucius (northern pike), 1194 nucleotides. NCBI's taxonomy places the organism in Eukaryota, Metazoa, Chordata, Actinopteri, Esociformes, Esocidae. The record is from Ensembl.